AAAACAAAAACAAAAAAACUGAAACGGGGGAUCGAGAGAUCGAGAGAGAGCGCAGGCUGCUGUCAAGAGAGAGAGAGAGAGAACGCCGCCGGCCACCACACGGCUCUGCCGCAGUGCUGCCCGCGUUGCGCCUCCACCCUCCCACACGCCUCCUCCGCUGGCCGCCACCCCGGCUCCCGCCGGCCCCGCCCGCUAGGUCAGGGAGUCGCGCUCGCCGUCGGACCAGCGCGGCAGCGCAGACUCGCCGCCAGGUCCGGGCGUCGCCGGCUCGUCGUCUCCUCCGACUGGCCGACUCCCCAAAUUUCUCCGAUCUUCAAGUUGACUGUGGCGCUGUCCAAUCUUCAAGUCCCCUGUGCACAUCAAAUCCCCAAUCGGAAUUAUUUUGGCCCAAACUAGUUUGGCACGGGGCAUCAGCAGUUCCUGGCUCGGCCGUUGUGUGGAGGGAUCAGAGCACAUGGCGGCAACCAACUCUGAGAUCGAGAGGCAGCAGCAGGAGUACGCCAGGGAGCUGGCCAAGUACAAGGAGGACUGCAAGGAGUUCAAGAGGAUGGUGUGCAUGAUGGUAUUAUCGCUCUCAAUCGCCUUCACGUUCUUGAUCUCCAGCUUCCUCGUCCCAGGCACACACCGCAUGUCCUGCAGGCUCAGCGCCGGGGCCUUCUUCCUUGUGUCCGCGUACUUCAUCGCCAUUCACCAGCAGAAAUUUGGUUGGUCCGUGUUCCCCAAGAGGCCAGAGUGCGAAGUCCAACUCGUUGGAGGAGACAGGGUCUAAUUGUUGCUGAAGUCGUUGUAUAUACUCCCUCGGUCCCGAAAUAAGUGACGUGGAUUUGUAUAGAAUCUUAUAUACAAAUCCACGUCACUUAUUUUGGGACUGAGGGGGUAUCAGUAACAUAUUGAUCUGUGUUUGGGAGGGCAGCAAGUGAGAUGGCUUGCCCUCUAUCUGCAUUUUAGUGUCAACCAUCGUCAAAUUAGGUUGUUGCUACUAGUGCUUUUUAAUCUAGCUUUGGUGUUCUGCAUGAUUUGCUUGCUGCUGAGAUUCAGACUUCCUUUUGGCUUGGGGAGAGUACUUAGGACGCAUCAACUCAUAGCUCCUACCUAUUGUGUCACAAGAUAAAUGAUCCAAUACUUACUAGUAGUAUUUUCAGUGUUUUCAUCCUGAAUAACCAUUCCAUAGCGAAUUAAAUUC
This is a long non-coding RNA of Brachypodium distachyon (stiff brome), 1183 nucleotides long. RefSeq lists it as uncharacterized. The record is from RefSeq and is a predicted model, not a curated record. The transcript is spliced from 2 exons. Lineage: Eukaryota; Viridiplantae; Streptophyta; Magnoliopsida; Poales; Poaceae.